AACAAGGCGUACCUGCGGACCUGCGGAAGGAUCAUUACCAGAGUGCCAUAGGCUCUCCAACCCAUUGUGAACAUACCUAUCGUUCCCUCGGCGGGCUCAGCGCGCGGGGCCUCCGGGCUUCCGGGCGUCCGCCGGGGACAACCAAACCCUGAUUUACUACGUGUAUCUCUGAGGGGCGAAAGCCCGAAAACAAAAUAAAUCAAAACUUUCAACAACGGAUCUCAGAUCGGAAGAGCACAC
Molecule: unclassified non-coding RNA, 240 nt
Filed under: soil metagenome
Description: partial contains 5.8S ribosomal RNA, internal transcribed spacer 2, and large subunit ribosomal RNA
Source: RNAcentral